RNAcentral lists this long non-coding RNA (1464 nucleotides) under Marmota monax (woodchuck). The record is from RNAcentral. Lineage: Eukaryota; Metazoa; Chordata; Mammalia; Rodentia; Sciuridae.
CUUAUAAUCAUGACAUAACAUGCUUCCUGAAUUUUCAUUCAAAUUCUCGAUUAUGUAUCAUUUGUCCUUGAAAAAUAUGAGAAGGAUAUGUUCUGUUAUGUAUGUAUAGUAAAAGUAGUGUAUUAUUUUAAGUGUUCUGCAAUGUAAAGAUAUUUAGAAGACAUUAAUGCUCUAUUUAGCAUUUCAAAUUGUAUAAUUCUUGGAUAUGUGAUAUAUAGGUAAUAUUCUAAACAAGUUUCUGCUACAUUUUAUGUUCCCAUUGACUUGAUACAGAAUCUUCUGUAUCUCCAAUGACGUCAAAUUAAUUGAACAUAUGUUUUUGCUAUCUGGCUGUUUAAACAUUAUGUUAUUGAUUAAAACAAGUUUGAGUAGAACUAGUUAUGGUAAUAAGAAAUGUCAUGUAAGGUGCAGUAUUAUAUUACAUGCUAUAAACAACUGAUGUAGAAAAAAAUACUUUCUAGUAAAACUUACACUUGUACAACUUCCUCACAUAGAAUAACUUUAUAGUGCUACCCCAUUCCUUCUAGAUAAAUAUUUCAGUUUAAUUCAAAUCAUUCUAAGAAAUGUAAAAAAUUGACCCAACUUAGUAUAUUCCUAAUAUCAGUGCCCUGCAGAUACUAAGAUAUACGAGUAGUGAGAGUGUCUAAAAUCCAUAUCUCAAUUUAAUUGUAAAUAACCUGAUGAGGCCCAAGAACAGGCCUCCCAUAAUAUCCUACCAUGGCUUCAUGACCAUUUAUGUAUUCACUUAUUAAAUAAAUGCAUUUUAAAUGCAUGUGUCAUGACUACCCUGGUCUCUUCUUUUCUACACACUCUGUGAGUUAAGGAAGAGUAUCUAAUUUUUUCCUACUUUGGUGAUCAUUCCUUUAUGACCACAGUGAGAAUAACUCCUAAUUGUUCCUUUGUAUGUGUAAAGGUGAAAAUAUAUUGAAACUUUUAUGUGCAGUUUUUUAAAACCUCUCUCAAUGGUUUUAUGAGUGUUGUCUUUGCAGGUGAUGAAAAUAGAAAAUUUAUUUUAAAAAUUUAUUUAUGACUCCAUCUCACAGAAUGCAGCUUCUGUGAGAAAAGAUCUUCUAAAAUUAUUUCCUUCCAGAUCUUUGUGAUAAAAUAUUUACUCAUAUAAGCCAAUGAUAAUUGACAUUUACCAGUAUUUAAAAUUGAAUCAUAUAUGGAAAUAGAUACAACUUAUGACUAUGAACUAUCCUUGAUCUCUCCUUUCCUUGUGUCUGAGGGAAUAUUUACAUCUGAGAACAAUAUGGAAGGCAUUGAAACAGUUUUCUACAAAAGAUAAAUAGGAAAAAAUACAUAUCUCUACACUUAGUUUCAUCUUAGCAUUUGAUUUGGUGGUAUAUUCAACUGAAUUGUCAUAAUUAUUAUAUGUCUGCCAUACACUGUCUCAGAUAUUUUCCAGUCUUUGUGUUGAACUUAAUGGAUUUGUGUAAUAUUCUCAGUUUAAGUGUCCUUAAA